This is a long non-coding RNA of Melospiza melodia melodia, 559 nucleotides long. RefSeq lists it as uncharacterized. Lineage: Eukaryota; Metazoa; Chordata; Aves; Passeriformes; Passerellidae. The record is from RefSeq and is a predicted model, not a curated record. The transcript has 4 exons.
AGUCCGAAAGGAAUGGAAUAGAAGUGUCAGCAGCAGUCUGGAUCAGCUCCAUCCUCUCUCGGAGCUGGCAACACUGAUUCCUGGUCCGGGGCCGGACUGUGAGAUCCAGGUAACCAGCAGCUCCAGCAAAGCCCUGCUGGCUCUUCAAGGCAUUGAAAUUUCAGGUGGAAUAAAGGAUGAGAAGGGAUAUUUGGAAAGAGCAUCUGUUUGAGCAGAGAGGCAAAGGUCUGGCUUUCACAAGAACUGCCUGAAAAAAAACCCCAAAGGAGUUGAAAAUCCCCCCCUGGAGAGCAUCAGCAGGCACCCAGAAUACAUCUCCAGGGUCACUUAAUUCCCUGGAUCCUACCCAACUGCUAUUGAAGUUAAUUGAAAAAACUCCCAUUGCCUUGAAGAGGUUUUGGAUCCAACUCAAACGGCUCAGUGGCAGCAGAUUACAAGAAGGAACCCCACUGUGCAAUUCCAGCCAUCUGCCUAUGGCUUCUGGGAUGGACGGAAUCCUUCUCCUAGUAAAGCCACCUCUGAAGGACUGGAAACGUGCAGAUUUUUCAUCUGAGUUGCU